UAAACAGUCAUUACCAGCUUCUUUAAGAAAGCAGAAAUAAAAGACAGUGAGAUUUUUGCUUUGCUAGAAGAUAUUUACACUUAUUUAAAAUGCCGUCUAAGCGUGGCCGCAGAAGGAGGAGAAAAAGGAAUAUUGUGAAACAACAUGCAGUUGUUAAUCCUGUGGCUAAAUAUCACACCACACGGCAGAAAGCCUUGUUUACUCUUCACUUAAGUGAAAGACGGAUUCAAGCUCUGGAAUUGUUUGGAAGGAAUUUAAGAUGAAAACAAAUGUUUUAUAUGUUAUUGAUCCAUUUAGCUAUGCUCCUUGUAUUCUUUAUGCACAAGCUUUUAAACAAUUGUAAUACAUUUGUUUGUAUAAAUAAAGGCGCAAUUUAUAAACUAAAAAAAA
Molecule: long non-coding RNA, 390 nt
Organism: Xenopus tropicalis (tropical clawed frog)
Lineage: Eukaryota; Metazoa; Chordata; Amphibia; Anura; Pipidae
Exons: 2
Source: RefSeq, a predicted model, not a curated record